GGGGGCGUACUGGCUUCGACGUGGAUCGGACGUACCCUGGGGCAUGCCGAGGAGACAGCAAUCCUCGUAAAACCUGCUGUAAAAAAGUUAGUUGCCAACGACGACAACUACGCACUGGCUGCCUAAAAACCAGCCUGCUCCCCAUCAGUCGAGCCUGCGCUUCUGAACCGGGGAUCAUCUAGCAGGAUCGCAGCAUGUCGUGCAUCAGGGCACCGCUGUUAAAUCAAACUGAGGCUGGUUGCUGCAUGUGCCCUGCCGCUCGGGCGGUGCAGUAACGAGAAAAAAUCGAGUGGCUAAGCAUGUAGAACCAGGAUCUGAUGGUUUGCGGACGCGGGUUCGACUCCCGCCGCCUCCACCA
Wenzhouxiangella marina is the source of this 358-nucleotide non-coding RNA. It matches the Rfam family "transfer-messenger RNA". Rfam says of the family: Bacterial tmRNA, also known as 10Sa RNA or SsrA, is named for its dual tRNA and mRNA-like properties. Its role is to liberate the mRNA from a stalled ribosome. Lineage: Bacteria; Pseudomonadati; Pseudomonadota; Gammaproteobacteria; Chromatiales; Wenzhouxiangellaceae. The record is from Rfam.